Molecule: ribosomal RNA, 253 nt
Filed under: uncultured Uliginosibacterium sp.
Lineage: Bacteria; Pseudomonadati; Pseudomonadota; Betaproteobacteria; Rhodocyclales; Zoogloeaceae
Description: partial 16S ribosomal RNA
Rfam family: Bacterial small subunit ribosomal RNA
Source: RNAcentral
UACGUAGGGUGCGAGCGUUAAUCGGAAUUACUGGGCGUAAAGCGUGCGCAGGCGGUUGCAUAAGACAGAUGUGAAAUCCCCGGGCUCAACCUGGGAACUGCGUUUGUGACUGUGUAACUAGAGUACGGUAGAGGGGGGUGGAAUUCCUGGUGUAGCAGUGAAAUGCGUAGAUAUCAGGAGGAACAUCGAUGGCGAAGGCAGCCCCCUGGACCUGUACUGACGCUCAUGCACGAAAGCGUGGGGAGCAAACAGG